AAUGAACGCUGGCGGCAGGCCUAACACAUGCAAGUCGAACGAGGCAGCAAUGCCUAGUGGCGGACGGGUGAGUAACGCGUGGGAACGUGCCCCUUGGUACGGAAUAGCCCUGGGAAACUGGGAGUAAUACCGUAUGUGGUCGAGAGACGAAAGAUUUAUCGCCAAGGGAUCGGCCCGCGUUGGAUUAGGUAGUUGGUGGGGUAAUGGCCUACCAAGCCGACGAUCCAUAGCUGGUUUGAGAGGAUGAUCAGCCACACUGGGACUGAGACACGGCCCAGACUCCUACGGGAGGCAGCAGUGGGGAAUCUUAGACAAUGGGGGAAACCCUGAUCUAGCCAUGCCGCGUGAUCGAUGAAGGCCUUAGGGUUGUAAAGAUCUUUCAGGUGGGAAGAUAAUGACGGUACCCACAGAAGAAGCCCCGGCUAACUCCGUGCCAGCCGCCGCGGUAA
This 449-nucleotide ribosomal RNA is filed under the name uncultured bacterium. Its description in RNAcentral is "partial 16S ribosomal RNA". It matches the Rfam family "Bacterial small subunit ribosomal RNA", at positions 29 to 523 of the family's 1533-position model. The record is from RNAcentral.